UACGUAGGGUGCAAGCGUUGUCCGGAAUUAUUGGGCGUAAAGAGCUCGUAGGCGGUUUGUCGCGUCUGCUGUGAAAACCCGAGGCUCAACCUCGGGCCUGCAGUGGGUACGGGCAGACUAGAGUGCGGUAGGGGAGAUUGGAAUUCCUGGUGUAGCGGUGGAAUGCGCAGAUAUCAGGGGGAACACCAAUGGCGAAGCCAGAUCUCUGGGCCGUAACUGACGCUGAGGAGCGAAAGCAUGGGGAGCGAACAGG
This 253-nucleotide ribosomal RNA is filed under the name uncultured bacterium. RNAcentral's name for it is "partial 16S ribosomal RNA". It matches the Rfam family "Bacterial small subunit ribosomal RNA", at positions 524 to 776 of the family's 1533-position model. The record is from RNAcentral.